UCCAACCCUCCUCCUUUUACCCCCAAGCUUUUCUCAAUGUGAUCUCUGCAACAGAUUGUGAUGGAACUAUGGAAGGAUUCUGCAUCCUCAUGUUGGUGGGUUAUGGCAAUGGUUGCUACUGUUUGCUAUGUAUGAUUUGAAUUUAAUAGAUGCUCAUGUUUCUCCUGUCUCUUUCUCUUUUUUUUUUUUUUUUUCUCUCAAUAAAAAUGAACCAUUUUAUCGAAUUUCUACUGGGCUUGAAGGUGCAUAUGCAGUAGUGGUAGUACUAUUAAAGCAGGGGUUCAAGCAAACAUUUACUUGAACCCAUUGGAGCCCAAAUGGCCCAAAGUCUGUAACAAAAGUUAAAAGGUGAAGACAAUUGCACCCUCUGCCUUUUCCUGAUACUUAGAUUCUCAAAGCAUCACACUUUCCGGAAUGAGAACUUUAAAAGAGUGUUAAAGUUUGAAGGGGACUGAUGAUUGUAGGAGGGCCAUGCGGUUGGGGGGUGCGGAGGCACUACUGGGCAAUUGUGUGCUCACUUUCCUCCUGUUUUUCCAAGUCUUUCUCCGACUUGCAAUCCUUUCUCUGGUCUGAGUUGGAUGAAAACAAGACCAAGGCUAACAGUGGCGGCAGACCCCCAAGCUGAUGAAAAAGAUAUUAACGGAUAAGAAUGGUCAUUUUGUAAAGCCACGAAUGGAACACCCUCUGCUUGUUCUUCUACAGCUGGGAGUCUCAACCUUGGAAGGAGGGAAAGGGGCCAUUCGCAGAAGGCUGAUAACAACAGCUUUUCACCUUGACAAGCUAAAGGUGCUUCCGCUGCUCCACAUGCGCGCACCAAAUCUUCAACUCUACUUUAGGUAUCCAUGCUAUUACAUGAAGUAUUGAGACUUCGACUGCUCUCUUUCGGCAUACUAGCAAGAAAACUAGCAUGGGAAGGAUGUCGAUCCCUGCUGGGGCAGACCUUCUCUUACCUACAUUGUUCGACUAGUUAUAAAACCAGAGACAUUUGCUAAAGGAGUUUCCAAAGGCAUCAAAGAAUCAAAUCGCCUUCUAUUUAUUUGGUUGGGGUACCAGAUUUUGUCUAGGCCAAAACUUCGCAAUGAUAGAGGCAAAGAUGGCACUAGCUAUUUCUGGUUCGAGCUCUCUCUUUCUUCAGCCUCAACAUGGUACUCCCAUUUUUUGCACCAGAGCUUAACUUCCCUCCGUGGCAAGGAAUGACAAUAAAUUUUAUCUAUGUGUAGUUUAGUAAGUAUAUUUAGAGAGUAUGGAAAAAAGCCUGUUUGGGGGAGAAUGUUUAAUUUGGCUUCCCACAAGGUGUAAUUUAGUUAGAGCAAGCAUAGUUUUGUGUACUAUAUAUAAGAAAACACAAACAUGUGUAACAUUAGACAUUUUGUUGAGAUAUUUUGUCUUUAAUGCUUAUAAAAAGUUUGGG
Molecule: small RNA, 1411 nt
Filed under: Theobroma cacao (cacao)
Lineage: Eukaryota; Viridiplantae; Streptophyta; Magnoliopsida; Malvales; Malvaceae
Description: sRNA Tc09v2_g005510
Source: RNAcentral